This 253-nucleotide ribosomal RNA is filed under the name uncultured bacterium. RNAcentral's name for it is "partial 16S ribosomal RNA". It matches the Rfam family "Bacterial small subunit ribosomal RNA", at positions 524 to 776 of the family's 1533-position model. The record is from RNAcentral.
UACGAAGGGGGCUAGCGUUGUUCGGAAUCACUGGGCGUAAAGCGCACGUAGGCGGAUUUUUAAGUCAGGGGUGAAAUCCCGAGGCUCAACCUCGGAACUGCCUUUGAUACUGGAGAUCUUGAGUCCGGAAGAGGUAAGUGGAACUGCGAGUGUAGAGGUGAAAUUCGUAGAUAUUCGCAAGAACACCCGUGGCGAAGGCGGCUCUCUGGGACGGUACUGACGCUGAGACGCGAAAGCGUGGGGAGCGAACAGG